RNAcentral lists this ribosomal RNA (328 nucleotides) under uncultured eukaryote. RNAcentral's name for it is "partial 18S ribosomal RNA". It matches the Rfam family "Eukaryotic small subunit ribosomal RNA", at positions 1470 to 1796 of the family's 1831-position model. The record is from RNAcentral.
CCCUUAGUUGUCCUGGGCCGCACGCGCGUUACACUGAUGCAUUCAACGAGCUUAUAACCUUGGCCGAGAGGCCUGGGCAAUCUUGUUAACGUGCAUCGUGAUAGGGAUAGAUUAUUGAAAUUAUUAAUCUUGAACGAGGAAUUCCUAGUAAACGCAGAUCAUCAAUCUGCAUUGAUUACGUCCCUGCCCUUUGUACACACCGCCCGUCGCACCUACCGAUUGGAUGGUCCGGUGAAGCCUCGGGAUUGUGGUUCUUGCCGCUUUAUUGUGGCGUGACCGCGAGAACUUGUCUAAACCUUAUCAUCUAGAGGAAGGUGAAGUCGUAACA